This 2103-nucleotide unclassified non-coding RNA is filed under the name Drosophila pseudoobscura pseudoobscura. RNAcentral's name for it is "GA19371". The record is from RNAcentral. Lineage: Eukaryota; Metazoa; Arthropoda; Insecta; Diptera; Drosophilidae.
CUCAAUUGCAGGUAGGACAUCAGAAGACGUUUUUCCACUGGCUGUCAAAAUAGAAAUUGUAUAAAAUGGAUGCGCUGCGCUUACGUGGUUCGCAAUUCAAUCGUUAUGGAGGCAGCUCAGGGUCAGGCGGCAACAACCCGAACCAGCCUCCGCCACCGCAGGUGCACAGCAAGCCGGAGCCUUUGAUUGUAGUGGAGGAGUCCAACUUGCCGGAGGAACUGGAGGACAGCUCAGAGACAACCUUUUCGAAUCGCGCCAGUCUGGACAUUGACUCGCCCGUAAACCCCUAUUUGCUCUCCCCUUGGCGGGAUCCGCGCGAGGCCCGUAAGCACUCGCUGCCCUCACAGCAGGUGACCGAUGGAAUCACCGCCAGUCAGGUGAGGCGUCUGUCCGAGCGCGGCGGCGAAGGAUCCGGUCCAUCGCCCAAGGAGGCCGCCUUCCUCGCCACCCUCUCACAAGCGCCGGCCCCAUCUGGACGUCGCCACUCAGUGGUCACCAUCUCCAAGGUGCCCACCACUCUCUUUGGACGUUCGCGCCGUGAAUCGGUGGCCGCCUAUCCGAGCAGCAAUGGCAGCAGCCGUGUGCUCAACUCACGGCGGGAGAGCAACACGGGUCCUCCCUCUACAGACCCCAUCGGCAGCAUCCAUAACUUGCAGCUGGACAUUAUGGACGACAUAUAUUUGCAGUCACGAAAGGCCCGUUUAAAGCUAUGGACCUCCAGCAAUGAGAAGGUCUGUGAGGUACAGACCGUUGACGAGGCCGGGACCGCGGCCCCGGGUAGGCGCUACACCAACCGCCGCUUUUCGGAGUGCCCCCAGCCGCAGCCGGCCAGCAGCUUUCGCCGGGCCUCUGAAUAUCCGCAUCCACCGCCGCAGCCGCAUCCGCAGGCACAAACACACGGACAUGGGCACGCGCCUUCAUCGCAGAAGAGCAUCUCGCCCCAGCCGCCGUUGUCGGCCAGGGCCUCGACACGCCGCAAGAAGUCGGGCAGUGGCGUAGGCCUGCUUGGAAGCCGCACGGACAUCGCUGGGAUCUUCAGCUCUUUGACCAGCUCUGCCAUGGACAUGCACCGCUCAGAGCCGGAGGGGAGCUCCAGUGCCAGUGCCAGCUCUUCAGCGGCCACCGCUGGAAGCAGCCCGUUUCUCAGCCAGACGUUCCAAAACGCCGCCCGGGGCCGCGCUACUAGUGCCACGCCUACGCCCACGGCCCACACUGGGGGGCAGGCGGCCGCAGCAAGCAGCAGCUCACUGCUAGACCCAAAUGCAGGCCGCUCCACACGAUCCAACAGCUUCGACGUCUCGAUCCUGAACAACGCCAAGCAGUUGGUGAGCGAGGCGCAGGACAACAGCUCUGCCGCCAUAUCCGGGUGGUUCGGCAAGCCGGCAAGUCGCCCACAGCCGUUGGCGCGAAAGAAAAGUGUGCGCAGCAAGAGCACGGCCAUGGCCCUCUCAAAGGACAUGUUGGAGCGAUUGCAGAAGAAGGACCCGCUCGGCGGAGACUCCGGAAAACCGAAGCUCAAGCCGCGCAGCAAGCAGAAGAGCUGGGCCGACACCACCAAGGCGAACAUCGUGGAUGCGACCAUGCUGGGCACGGCGAUCGAGGGUUUCUUACGCAAGAGCUCCAAUGCCGGGAUGGCCGGAGCCGGAGGUUCUAGCGGUCCGUCCACAUCGGCGGCGGUCCGCGGGGCUGUUCCCAAGGAGUCAAACAGCGCCACCGGCAGUCCGGCCGGAGCCCGUCGCAGCCGGGCGUCCGCGGGCAGUGGCGCCCAGUCUCAGGCCGGGCGGGCAAUGCGCUCCACUCUCAACUGGUUCAGCAAGGGCGAGGAGGAUGACUCGAAGGAUACGUGCGAUGCGUCGUUGUGUUCGACACUCAAGGACCUAUUCGUGAAAUAGGUCGGGGGACGCAGAGGCAAGUAAAGCUCUGGGACUGACCCACCAACAGAUCCUGGCCGUUCAGCAAAGGCGAGCUACUUGUAUCUCUGAGAUCCGGAAAUAUUCGUAUCAUUUGUUAACCAUCGGAAGAAGCCGACAGGUAAAGCGAACUUCAACACCAGACACCAGUUAGGCAGCGAACAAAAAGAGUACCCGCACACUUCAUUGUCAC